CAAAUUAGAGCUUGAUUAUUAAGUAGCUUAUUUACAUUGAGAUGAUAAUUGUGAAAUUCAAUUUAAUUUGA
RNAcentral lists this transfer RNA (71 nucleotides) under Eurysternus sp. KM-2017. RNAcentral describes it as "tRNA-Val". The record is from RNAcentral. Lineage: Eukaryota; Metazoa; Arthropoda; Insecta; Coleoptera; Scarabaeidae.